This 24-nucleotide small nuclear RNA is filed under the name Arabidopsis thaliana (thale cress). RNAcentral's name for it is "snRNA_13736". The record is from RNAcentral. Lineage: Eukaryota; Viridiplantae; Streptophyta; Magnoliopsida; Brassicales; Brassicaceae.
UCUGAAGUUUUUAGUUGCUGUUUU